ACUAAACUACGACGUUUUCUUCUUUGAUCAAAGCUUUCUUCUUCGUUCUCGUCGCCAUCACUCAAGGAGUCGAGGGUUUCAGUCUUCGUUCUCGUUGUCAUCAAUCGAUCUCAGUCGCCAUUGAUCGAGGAGUCGAGGGUUUCAAUCGAUCUCGUCGACGAGGGCUUUAACAUCUCAGAUUCUCAGUCGGUGGGUUUCAACAUCUUAGAUUCUCAGUCGGUGGGUUUCAAUCAACUUCGAGAUCGAGCAAUCUCCGGCGUGAGCUCUCUGUCCUCAGACUCGACCUCUCUCUUAUCUCCUCCGAUUUGGGUUUCAAGCAUUGUUGAGGUUCGGAUUCCAAGGAGGAUGCUUGGGGUGGGUCUAACCUCGGGUCUAGUUUGAUGAUGAAGAUGAUGAUGAUGCUGCAAAAAGUAACUCUGAAAUUGAAGAUUCUAGCGCAUGAAGGAGAUUAGCUUCCACAGAAGGAAGUGUUGGUUAUUCCACUGGUUGCUGUCUUGAUAUCAUGAUAUGUGAAAGACCAUCUUGUUUAUUUUGCGGUUUGACUGUAAUAAAAGUAUACUUUGUUUGACAUUUUUAACUCGUUGAUCUUUUGUACUUGUUUAUUUCAAUCAGAAACUAUGUGUUUACAUAAGAAAAAAAAUAUAAAGGGUUUAAAGA
This is a long non-coding RNA of Raphanus sativus (radish), 657 nucleotides long. RefSeq lists it as uncharacterized. NCBI's taxonomy places the organism in Eukaryota, Viridiplantae, Streptophyta, Magnoliopsida, Brassicales, Brassicaceae. The transcript has 3 exons. The record is from RefSeq and is a predicted model, not a curated record.